UACGAAGGGGGCUAGCGUUGCUCGGAAUCACUGGGCGUAAAGCGCACGUAGGCGGCUUCUUAAGUCAGGGGUGAAAUCCUGGAGCUCAACUCCAGAACUGCCUUUGAUACUGAGGAUCUUGAGUUCGGGAGAGGUGAGUGGAACUGCGAGUGUAGAGGUGAAAUGCGUAGAUAUUACAAGGAACACCAAUGGCGAAGGCAGCUUGCUGGGCUUCUUCUGACACUGAGGUACGAAAGCGUGGGGAGCGAACAGG
RNAcentral lists this ribosomal RNA (253 nucleotides) under uncultured bacterium. RNAcentral's name for it is "partial 16S ribosomal RNA". It matches the Rfam family "Bacterial small subunit ribosomal RNA", at positions 524 to 776 of the family's 1533-position model. The record is from RNAcentral.